This 495-nucleotide ribosomal RNA is filed under the name uncultured bacterium. RNAcentral's name for it is "bacterial SSU rRNA". It matches the Rfam family "Bacterial small subunit ribosomal RNA", at positions 29 to 523 of the family's 1533-position model. The record is from RNAcentral.
AUUGAACGCUGGCGGCAGGCCUAACACAUGCAAGUCGAGCGGAUGAAGGUAGCUUGCUACCGGAUUCAGCGGCGGACGGGUGAGUAAUGCCUAGGAAUCUGCCCGGUAAUGGGGAUAACGUUUCGAAAGGAACGCUAAUACCGCAUACGUCCUACGGGAGAAAGCAGGGGACCUUCGGGCCUUGCGUUAUCGGAUGAGCCUAGGUCGGAUUAGCUAGUUGGUGAGGUAAUGGCUCACCAAGGCGACGAUCCGUAACUGGUCUGAGAGGAUGAUCAGUCACACUGGAACUGAGACACGGUCCAGACUCCUACGGGAGGCAGCAGUGGGGAAUAUUGCGCAAUGGGCGAAAGCCUGACGCAGCCACGCCGCGUGAGCGAUGAAGGUCUUCGGAUCGUAAAGCUCUGUGGGGGGAGAAGAAGAAAGCCGGUGAAGAGCCGGCCCUGACGGUAUCCCCUUAGCAAGCACCGGCUAACUCCGUGCCAGCAGCCGCGGUAA